RNAcentral lists this long non-coding RNA (266 nucleotides) under Mustela putorius furo (domestic ferret). RNAcentral's name for it is "lncRNA (ENSMPUG00000026836.1)". Lineage: Eukaryota; Metazoa; Chordata; Mammalia; Carnivora; Mustelidae. The record is from RNAcentral.
GCCUGCACCACAGGCAGCAAGCAGUCUGUUGCCCGGGUCAGACGAGACUGUGUCCUGUUCCACCUAGCUAGAGGCUUAAGGCAAAUCAUAUGAAUUCUUCACUUGCUGUUUCCUCAUUCAAAAAAGGAAGGAUGAAAAGAAGGGACUUUCAUCGGAAAUUUUCGCUUCCAUGGUGCAGAAGUGAACUGCAGCUGUUCUCCCUAUUAACCUCUUCUCCACUGUCAGGUCACGAUCUCAAGGUCAUGAGAUCAAGCACCAAGCUGGGC